GAUGAAGAACGUAGCGAAAUGCGAUAAGUAAUGUGAAUUGCAGAAUUCAGUGAAUCAUCGAAUCUUUGAACGCACAUUGCGCCCCCUGGUAUUCCGGGGGGCAUGCCUGUUCGAGCGUCAUUUCACCACUCAAGCCUCGCUUGGUAUUGGGCAACGCGGUCCGCCGCGUGCCUCAAAUCGACCGGCUGGGUCUUCUGUCCCCUAAGCGUUGUGGAAACUAUUCGCUAAAGGGUGUUCGGGAGGCUACGCCGUAAAACAACCCCAUUUCUAAGGUUGACCUCGGAUCAGGUAGGGAUACCCGCUGAACCUAAGCAUAUCAAUAAGCGGAGGA
This 331-nucleotide unclassified non-coding RNA is filed under the name soil metagenome. Its description in RNAcentral is "partial contains 5.8S ribosomal RNA, internal transcribed spacer 2, and large subunit ribosomal RNA". The stretch from base 1 to 120 matches the Rfam family "5.8S ribosomal RNA", at positions 35 to 154 of the family's 154-position model. The record is from RNAcentral.